Molecule: long non-coding RNA, 496 nt
Organism: Phragmites australis (common reed)
Lineage: Eukaryota; Viridiplantae; Streptophyta; Magnoliopsida; Poales; Poaceae
Exons: 3
Source: RefSeq, a predicted model, not a curated record
UUUGAUCCACAAGGUACCUUAUAUGGAUCGCAUAUGAAGCUUCCGUCAGCAUAUCUAGGUGAAUCAGAGUGGCUUACAUGGAUCACAUAUCAAGCUCUCGUCAGCAUGUUUAGGUGAAUGAGAGGUGGCUUACAUCAUCACUGAUUUUCCUUGAUGAUAUACGAAAUGAAGGACCAAAGCCAAUUGGAAGUUCAAUUUGAAGAAGCUAUCAAUCCUGUGAUUUAGCUGUGCACUCUGAUUAAUGGAAUUAUUAUUCCCUAAAAAAAGAUACCGCUGGUUUUUCAUCCCCAGCAGCACCAACAGAAAAGACGAAGCUCGAAUUACGUUACUAGCAGGGAACUCAUAGCAUCCACAGCAUAUACAUGUGGACGUGCUGUUCAAACACUGAAGACUUGAAGUGGACCUGGACCAAGACCUGCUCAUAUGAUCAUGUCCUAGCAGUUUGAAGAAGAGGCCGCCCUCCUCCACAGAGAAAAAAAAAAUCUAAAUUAUUGGA